RNAcentral lists this transfer RNA (72 nucleotides) under Chelonia mydas (Green sea turtle). It matches the Rfam family "tRNA". Rfam says of the family: Transfer RNA (tRNA) molecules are approximately 80 nucleotides in length. Their secondary structure includes four short double-helical elements and three loops (D, anti-codon, and T loops). Lineage: Eukaryota; Metazoa; Chordata; Testudines; Cheloniidae. The record is from Rfam by way of RNAcentral.
GGAAGGAUGAUCUUGUGGUUAAGAUCCUGGACUGGGGCUCAAGUGAUCUGGGUUAACUUUCCAGCCUUUCCA